AACGAACGCUGGCGGCAGGCCUAACACAUGCAAGUCGAGCGAAGCCUUCGGGCUUAGCGGCGGACGGGUGAGUAACGCGUGGGAAUCUGCCCUUGGGUUCGGAAUAACGUCGGGAAACUGACGCUAAUACCGGAUGAUGACGUAAGUCCAAAGAUUUAUCGCCCAGGGAUGAGCCCGCGUAGGAUUAGCUAGUUGGUGGGGUAAAGGCCUACCAAGGCGACGAUCCUUAGCUGGUCUGAGAGGAUGAUCAGCCACACUGGGACUGAGACACGGCCCAGACUCCUACGGGAGGCAGCAGUAGGGAAUAUUGGACAAUGGGGGCAACCCUGAUCCAGCAAUGCCGCGUGAGUGAUGAAGGCCUUAGGGUUGUAAAGCUCUUUUACCCGGGAUGAUAAUGACAGUACCGGGAGAAUAAGCCCCGGCUAACUCCGUACCAGCCGCCGCGGUAA
This 449-nucleotide ribosomal RNA is filed under the name uncultured bacterium. Its description in RNAcentral is "partial 16S ribosomal RNA". It matches the Rfam family "Bacterial small subunit ribosomal RNA", at positions 29 to 523 of the family's 1533-position model. The record is from RNAcentral.